This 351-nucleotide ribosomal RNA is filed under the name Carelis biluma. Its description in RNAcentral is "partial 12S small subunit ribosomal RNA". The record is from RNAcentral. Lineage: Eukaryota; Metazoa; Arthropoda; Insecta; Lepidoptera; Noctuidae.
AAAAUUUAAAUUAAAAAUACUAAAAUAGUAGGUAAUUAUUUAUUGAAACUUAAAUAAUUUGGCGGUAUUUUAGUUCAUUUAGAGGAAUCUGUUUAAUAAUUGAUAAUCCACGAAUAAAUUUACUUAAUUUAGAAUUUUAUAUAUCGUUGUUAUAAAAAUAUUUUUUAAUAAAAUUAAUAUUUAAAAAUUAAAAUUAAAAUUUAAAUCAGAUCAAGAUGUAGAUUAUAAUUAAGAAUAUAAUGGAUUACAAUAAAUUUAUUUAAAUGAAUAUUAAUUUGUAAAAAUUAAUUGAAGGUGGAUUUAAAUGUAAUUUUAUUUAAUUUAAUAUAAUGAUUAAAAAUUAAAAUAUGU